GACUCCUACGGGAGGCAGCAGUAGGGAAUUUUCCGCAAUGGGCGCAGGCCUGACGGAGCAAUACCGCGUAGGGGAUGACGGCUUACGAGUUGUAAACCCUUUUUUUCAGGGAGGAAGAAAAUGACGUGUACCUGAAGAAUAAGCAUCGGCUAACUCCGUGCCAGCAGCCGCGGUAAU
This 177-nucleotide ribosomal RNA is filed under the name uncultured bacterium. Its description in RNAcentral is "partial 16S ribosomal RNA". It matches the Rfam family "Bacterial small subunit ribosomal RNA", at positions 334 to 524 of the family's 1533-position model. The record is from RNAcentral.